RNAcentral lists this ribosomal RNA (799 nucleotides) under uncultured Glomus. Its description in RNAcentral is "SSU rRNA". It matches the Rfam family "Eukaryotic small subunit ribosomal RNA", at positions 314 to 1114 of the family's 1831-position model. The record is from RNAcentral. Lineage: Eukaryota; Fungi; Glomeromycota; Glomeromycetes; Glomerales; Glomeraceae.
AUCAACUUUCGAUUGGUAGGAUAGAGGCCUACCAUGGUGGUAACGGGUAACGGGGUGUUAGGGCACGACACCGGAGAGGGAGCCUGAGAAACGGCUACCACAUCCAAGGAUGGCAGCAGGCGCGCAAAUUACCCAAUCCCGACACGGGGAGGUAGUGACAAUAAAUAACAAUACGGGGUCCUUUCGGGUUUCGUAAUUGGAAUGAGUACAAUUUAAAUCUCUUAACGAGGAACAAUUGGAGGGCAAGUCUGGUGCCAGCAGCCGCGGUAAUUCCAGCUCCAAUAGCGGAUAUUAAAGUUGUUGCAGUUAAAAAGCUCGUAGUUGAAUUUCGGGAUCAGUACGCCGGUCGUGCUUCGGUAUGCACUGGUGUCACUGGUUCCUCCCUUCUGAAGAACCAUCAUGCCAUUCAGUUGGUGUGGCGGGGAAUCAGGACUGUUACUUUGAAAAAGUUAGAGUGUUUAAAGCAGGCUCGCGCUUGAAUACAUUAGCAUGGAAUAAUGAAAUAGGACGUUUGACCCUAUUUUGUUGGUUUCUAGGAUCGACGUAAUGAUUAAUAGGGAUAGUUGGGGGCAUUAGUAUUCAAUUGUCAGAGGUGAAAUUCUUGGAUUUAUUGAAGACUAACUACUGCGAAAGCAUUUGCCAAGGAUGUUUUCAUUAAUCAAGAACGAAAGUUAGGGGAUCGAAGACGAUCAGAUACCGUCGUAGUCUUAACCAUAAACUAUGCCGACUAGGGAUCGGAUGAUGUUAAUUUUUGAAUGACUCAUUCGGCGCCUUACGGGAAACCAAAGUGUUUGGGUUC